AAGGCCAAGGAAUUGGUGACCUUCAGGAUGAAGAUUCGGCUACUUAGUUUAGUGGUCGGCAAGGAAAGCAAACUGGACAUUGAACGGACUCAUAUUAGUAACUAGGAUGGGUUACUACUAGGGAAGGGAAAUGGAUACCGCUUAAGGAUUAGGCGAUGUGAGCUAACUAGGAUAGUUAGCGGACCAGGAUAAGGUCAUGGACACCGCUAGGAUGGCGAUGAAAGGACUGAGCUGAAGGACAUCAGCAUACUAUCAAGGAAUGAUGCAUGGAGCACCUUUAGUAGCGGGAUUGCUGCGAGUAAGACUAUAACCCCGAUGGGCGAAAGCCCUCGGGGUUUUUCUU
Molecule: small RNA, 343 nt
Filed under: Vibrio aquimaris
Lineage: Bacteria; Pseudomonadati; Pseudomonadota; Gammaproteobacteria; Vibrionales; Vibrionaceae
Source: RNAcentral